This 510-nucleotide ribosomal RNA is filed under the name Heteroteuthis hawaiiensis. RNAcentral's name for it is "partial 16S ribosomal RNA". It matches the Rfam family "Bacterial large subunit ribosomal RNA", at positions 1817 to 2596 of the family's 2925-position model. The record is from RNAcentral. Lineage: Eukaryota; Metazoa; Mollusca; Cephalopoda; Sepiida; Sepiolidae.
CUCUCUUUGUAUUUUUUAUAUAAAGAGUUGGACCUGCUCGGUGAAUAUGAUUUUAACAGCUGCGGUAUUUUAACUGUACUAAGGUAGCAUAAUAGUUUGCCUUAUAAUUUGAGGCUGGAAUGAAUGGUUUGACGAAGGUUAAUCUGUCUCUAUUUUAUUUAUUAGAAAUUAAUUUUUAAAGUGAAAAAGCUUGUAUUUUUUAAAGGGACGAGAAGACCCUAUUGAGCUUAUAAUUUUGGUUUUAUUAUAUAAAUAAAGUAAUAUGACGUAAAUUUUAGUUGGGGUGAUUAAGGAAUAAGAUUGUUUUAUGGUAACUUCCUUAAAUAUAAAUGAAUAGAUAUAUUAGGUAACCAAUAUUUAUAUUGCUUAUAUUAUAGUUACCAUAGGGAUAACAGCGUAAUUUAUUUAGAGAGUUCUUAUUAAAAAAUAAGAUUGCGACCUCGAUGUUGGAUUAAAGUGACCUUAAGGUGUAGAAGCUUUAAAGGUAAAUCUGUUCGAUUUUAAAAACUU